Molecule: small nuclear RNA, 105 nt
Filed under: Erinaceus europaeus (western European hedgehog)
Lineage: Eukaryota; Metazoa; Chordata; Mammalia; Eulipotyphla; Erinaceidae
Source: RNAcentral
CUGCGGGUAGUCACACAUACAAAAAAUUGGCAUGAUACAUAGAAGAUUAAGCAUGGCCCCCUGCUCAACGAUUACACACAGAUCCGUGACGCAUAGCAUUAUUUU